ACGCCCAGCUGAUUUUUUGUAUUUUUAGUAGAGACGGGGUUUUGCCAUGUUGGCCAGGCUGGUCUCGAACUCCUGACCUCAGGUGAUCCACCCAUUUUGGCCUCCCAAAGUACUGGGAUUACAGGCGUGAGCACCCGUGCCCGGCCACACCAUUAUUUUGAAGAGAAAAUUUGAUAAAAAUAAUUGGUCAGUUGUAAAAAUGGUUAACUACCCAACUGGUAAGAGAGAUUUCUAAGAGUUACAGAAUAGCAACUGCAGGAAGGAACUUGUGCCCUUAGGACUGAGGAAGUAAAAAGGAAGGAAACUUGGAAACACGGAAGAGCCCUUCCCCUUUCAAUUCAAGGUGGAGACUGGACCUCAGAAGAGGGAGUGGGUGCCCCGAGAACUCACAGCUAGUGGACAGCGGAAAGGGCAGGAGCCGGACCAAGGUGAGGACAGCGGAACUGAAGGCCGCUGGUUACCUCUCCUGCCCUCUGCUGGCCACAGUGGAGAAGACAGCCCCUCCCUCCUGCUCUGACCUGACAGUGUUCAUCCAUCGCCCUGUAUUAGCGAAGAACAACAUCAAGCUGGCUAGCAAGGAACUGUAUACAGGGUCCAGCUGGGUAUCACACUGGAUCUCACCCAAAGCUGAGAUGUGAUCCAGCUCCGUAUCACAAAGCAGAACGAAAAGGAUGUGUUUGGGCUGAGAGGCCAUACAUUGGCUCCGGCACGACGGGUGGCUUCUGCAGCACACAGGGCUUCGCCAGCACCCAGCUCCUGCAGCAUGGGCAGCUCCUGUGACAGCAGGCGCCCACAGCCUGCAAAGCGUCUCCAGUGCCGCCGCCUCAGUGAACCGCAACCAGCGGCACCUAGCAGCUUUCUCCGCCACCCUCUUCAGGUAGUUCUGUAGCAGCGCGUUUCUCAUGAGACACUUCCCUGUGAGCAGCUUUUUCUACCCUUGAGGAUGGAUUUCCAGCAAAUUCUGCCCAUGUGGUACCACAGCCACUUCUCUGCCAUUCAGUGAAACUGCCGUUGUGCCCUCUUCAAGGUCUGGAUCUAAGCCCAGGGACCAGGAAACCUCUUGCUUGAGUGCUGGAACUCAGGCCAGAAGGCAGGAAGCCCGCCUGACCCCACGUCUCAGGCUGCCAGAGGAGCGUGCGAUGAGGAAGGCUGGACUGUCUUCACAGGACACCAGAGAGAAGCCUCAAGCCACUGCCCCCUGACAAGUCUCAGCUCUCCAGCCUGUCUCCUCACUCCCCUCCCCUCCACAUGGGGGGGUUGGGGUGGGGGCGGGGAAGGUUCGGGGCAGGGGUCAUUUCAGCUACUGGGCACCAGUCUCCUCCUCAUGUUUAUCCUGUUCCCUUUGCUUGAAAGGUUCGUACUCCAGAUCCUUGUAAAACCGCUUCUCACCCUUUGAGUCUCAGCUUAAAUGUCCCCUCCUUGGAGGGGUCUUCCCUGACAAUGAAGCUCCGACCGUCCUCUCCUGUUUUACCCAGUUCAUUUCUUUCUGGCAUUUGUAACUACUUGAAGUUAAAGUGUGUGCCAUGUAUGUGUCUGUCAGUUUCCCCCACCACACUGGAACCCCAUGAGGGCAAGGGUCUUG
This 1582-nucleotide long non-coding RNA is filed under the name Pan troglodytes (chimpanzee). RNAcentral's name for it is "long non-coding RNA NONPTRT006190". Lineage: Eukaryota; Metazoa; Chordata; Mammalia; Primates; Hominidae. The record is from RNAcentral.